UACGAAGGUGGGCAGCGUUGGUCGGAUUUACUGUGCGUACAGGGAGCGUAGGCGGUUCGGUACGCCCUUUGUGAAAUCUACAGGCUUAACCUGGAACAGUCGGAGGGGACUGCCGGGCUAGAGGGCGGGAGCGGAGCGCGGAAUUCUCGGUGUAGCGGUGAAAUGCGUAGAGAUCGGGAGGAAGGCCGGUGGCGAAGGCGGCGCUCUGGAACGUUUCUGACGCUGAGGAUCGAAUGCGUGGUGAGCGAACAGG
This 253-nucleotide ribosomal RNA is filed under the name uncultured bacterium. Its description in RNAcentral is "partial 16S ribosomal RNA". It matches the Rfam family "Bacterial small subunit ribosomal RNA", at positions 524 to 776 of the family's 1533-position model. The record is from RNAcentral.